AAAAUGCGAUACUUGGUGUGAAUUGCAGAAUCCCGUGAACCAUCGAGUUUUUGAACGCACGUUGCGCCCGAAGCCAUCCGGCUGAGGGCACGCCUGCCUGGGCGUCACGCAUCGCGUCGCUCCCCACCAUACCUCCCCAACGGGUUGGCAUGGUGUUGGGGGCGGAUAAUGGCCUCCCGUGCUUGUGUUUCGGUUGGCCUAAAUAAGAGUUCCCUUCGGCGGACACACGACUAGUGGUGGUUGAAUAGACCCUCGUCUUUUGUUGCGUGUCGUGAGCUGUAAGGGUAGCCCUCAUCAAAGACCCCAUUGUAUCGUCUUCGGAUGAUGCUUCGACCGCGACCCCAGGUCAGGCGGGACUACCCGCUGAGUUUAAGC
RNAcentral lists this unclassified non-coding RNA (375 nucleotides) under plant metagenome. RNAcentral's name for it is "partial contains 5.8S ribosomal RNA, internal transcribed spacer 2, and large subunit ribosomal RNA". The stretch from base 1 to 107 matches the Rfam family "5.8S ribosomal RNA", at positions 50 to 154 of the family's 154-position model. The record is from RNAcentral.